AACGAAAGUUAGAGGUUCGAAGGCGAUCAGAUACCGCCCUAGUUCUAACCAUAAAACGAUGCCAGCUAGCGAUCCGAGGGCGCAGAUUGUAGGCCCCUCGGGAAGCUUCCGGGAAACCAAAGCUCUCGGGUUCCGGGGGAAGUAUGGUUGCAAAGCUGAAACUUAAAGGAAUUGACGGAAGGGCACCACCAGGAGUGGAGCCUGCGGCUUAAUUUGACUCAACACGGGAAAUCUCACCAGGCCCGGACACUGGAAGGAUUGACAGAUUGAGAGCUCUUUCUCGAUUCGGUGGGUGGUGGUGCAUGGCCGUUCUUAGUUGGUGGAGUGAUUUGUCUGGUUAAUUCCGAUAACGAACGAGACUCUGUCCUGCUAAAUAGUCCGAGCGUCUCUCGCUGCGCUCGGAGUUCUUCUUAGAGGGACUGGUGGCGUCUAGCCGCACGAGAUUGAGCAAUAACAGGUCUGUGAUGCCCUUAGAUGUUCUGGGCUGCACGCGCGCUACACUGAAGGGAUCAACGCGUCUUCCCUUUCCGAGAGGAACGGGUAACCUCUUGAAUCCCCUUCGUGGUAGGGAUCGGGGCUUGCAAUUAUUCCCCGUGAACCAGGAAUUCCUAGUAGACGCGAGUCAUAAGCUCGCAUCGAUUAAGUCCCUGCCCUUUGUACACACCGCCCGUCGCUACUACCGAUUGAAUGGUU
Molecule: ribosomal RNA, 693 nt
Filed under: uncultured eukaryote
Lineage: Eukaryota
Description: bacterial SSU rRNA
Rfam family: Eukaryotic small subunit ribosomal RNA
Source: RNAcentral